This 490-nucleotide ribosomal RNA is filed under the name uncultured bacterium. RNAcentral describes it as "partial 16S ribosomal RNA". It matches the Rfam family "Bacterial small subunit ribosomal RNA", at positions 30 to 507 of the family's 1533-position model. The record is from RNAcentral.
AUUGAACGCUGGCGGCAUGCUUUACACAUGCAAGUCGGACGGCAGCACAGAGAGGCUUGCCUCUUGGGUGUCGCGUGGCGAAGGGGGGAGUAAAAUACCUCAACGUAUCGAGUAACGGGGGAGAUCUAAUCGAAAGAUUAGCUAUUACCGCAUAUACUCUGAAGAGGAAAGAAGGGGAGCUCCGGGCACUUUGUUAGUCUAGCUGACGAUAUCUGAUUAGCUAGUUGGUGGGGUAAAGGCCUACCAAGGCGACGAUCCGUAGCGGGUCUGAGAGGAUGAUCCGCCACACUGGAACUGAGACACGGCCCAGACUCCUACGGGAGGCAGCAGUGGGGAAUAUUGGACAAAGGGCGCAAGCCUGAUCCAGCCAUGCCGCGUGUGUGAAGAAGGCCUUCGGGUUGUAAAGCACUUUUGUCAGGGAAGAAAAGCAUGAUGCUAAUAUCAAUAGGUGCUGACGGUACCUAAAGAAUAAGCACCGGCUAACUACGUG